GGCGUUUCCCGGGUGACAAACCCCAGAAAUGGGCUCCCUCCUCUCUGGUUCUGGGGUGCGUCACCUGAGAACCAUC
Molecule: non-coding RNA, 76 nt
Organism: Myotis davidii
Lineage: Eukaryota; Metazoa; Chordata; Mammalia; Chiroptera; Vespertilionidae
Source: Rfam